Molecule: ribosomal RNA, 904 nt
Filed under: Salmonella enterica subsp. enterica serovar Oranienburg
Lineage: Bacteria; Pseudomonadati; Pseudomonadota; Gammaproteobacteria; Enterobacterales; Enterobacteriaceae
Description: partial 23S ribosomal RNA
Rfam family: Bacterial large subunit ribosomal RNA
Source: RNAcentral
GCAAGGUUAACCGUAUAGGGGAGCCGGAGGGAAACCGAGUCUUAACCGGGCGUUAAGUUGCAGGGUAUAGACCCGAAACCCGGUGAUCUAGCCAUGGGCAGGUUGAAGGUUGGGUAACACUAACUGGAGGACCGAACCGACUAAUGUUGAAAAAUUAGCGGAUGACCUGUGGCUGGGGGUGAAAGGCCAAUCAAACCGGGAGAUAGCUGGUUCUCCCCGAAAGCUAUUUAGGUAGCGCCUCGUGAAUUCAUCUCCGGGGGUAGAGCACUGUUUCGGCUAGGGGGCCAUCCCGGCUUACCAACCCGAUGCAAACUGCGAAUACCGGAGAAUGUUAUCACGGGAGACACACGGCGGGUGCUAACGUCCGUCGUGAAGAGGGAAACAACCCAGACCGCCAGCUAAGGUCCCAAAGUCAUGGUUAAGUGGGAAACGAUGUGGGAAGGCCCAGACAGCCAGGAUGUUGGCUUAGAAGCAGCCAUCAUUUAAAGAAAGCGUAAUAGCUCACUGGUCGAGUCGGCCUGCGCGGAAGAUGUAACGGGGCUAAACCAUGCACCGAAGCUGCGGCAGCGACACUCAGGUGUUGUUGGGUAGGGGAGCGUUCUGUAAGCCUGCGAAGGUGUGUCGUGAGGCAUGCUGGAGGUAUCAGAAGUGCGAAUGCUGACAUAAGUAACGAUAAAGCGGGUGAAAAGCCCGCUCGCCGGAAGACCAAGGGUUCCUGUCCAACGUUAAUCGGGGCAGGGUGAGUCGACCCCUAAGGCGAGGCCGAAAGGCGUAGUCGAUGGGAAACGGGUUAAUAUUCCCGUACUUGGUGUUACUGCGAAGGGGGGACGGAGAAGGCUAUGUUGGCCGGGCGACGGUUGUCCCGGUUUAAGCGUGUAGGUGUGUGUUCCAGGUAAAUCCGGUU